This 102-nucleotide ribosomal RNA is filed under the name uncultured bacterium. Its description in RNAcentral is "partial 16S ribosomal RNA". It matches the Rfam family "Bacterial small subunit ribosomal RNA", at positions 392 to 508 of the family's 1533-position model. The record is from RNAcentral.
CAACGCCGCGUGGAGGAUGAAGCCCCUUGGGGGCGUAAACUCCUUUCGAUCGGGACGAUUAUUGACGGUACCGGAAGAAGAAGCCCCGGCUAACCUUCGUGC